Molecule: ribosomal RNA, 474 nt
Filed under: uncultured bacterium
Lineage: Bacteria
Description: bacterial SSU rRNA
Rfam family: Bacterial small subunit ribosomal RNA
Source: RNAcentral
GAUUCUGGCUCAGAACGAACGCUGGCGGCAGGCUUAACACAUGCAAGUUGAACGGGAUUUGUGUGUGCUUGCACGCACGAAUGAGAGUAGCGCACUGGUGAGUAACACGUGGGAACAUGCCUUUUGGUGGGGGACAACAGAGGGAAACUUCUGCUAAUACCGCAUAAGCCCUAAGGGGGAAAGAUUAAUUGCCGAAAGAUUGGCCCGCGGAAGAUUAGGUAGUUGGUGGGGUAAAGGCCUACCAAGCCGACGAUCUAUAGCUGGUCUGAGAGGACGAACAGCCACAUUGGAACUGAGACACGGUCCAGACUCCUACGGGAGGCAGCAGUGAGGAAUAUUGGGCAAUGGAGGAAACUCUGACCCAGCCAUGCCGCGUGAGUGAAGAAGGUUUUCGAAUUGUAAAGCUCUUUCGGAUACGAGGAUGAUGACGGUAGUAUCUAAAGAAGCCCCGGCAAACUUCGUGCCAGCCGCGGC